ACUCCUACGGGAGGCAGCAGUAGGGAAUCUUCCACAAUGGGCGCAAGCCUGAUGGAGCAACACCGCGUGAGUGAAGAAGGGUUUCGGCUCGUAAAGCUCUGUUGUUAAAGAAGAACACGUAUGAGAGUAACUGUUCAUACGUUGACGGUAUUUAACCAGAAAGUCACGGCUAACUACGUGCCAGCAGCCGCGGUAAUACGUAGGUGGCAAGCGUUAUCCGGAUUUAUUGGGCGUAAAGAGAGUGCAGGCGGUUUUCUAAGUCUGAUGUGAAAGCCUUCGGCUUAACCGGAGAAGUGCAUCGGAAACUGGAUAACUUGAGUGCAGAAGAGGGUAGUGGAACUCCAUGUGUAGCGGUGGAAUGCGUAGAUAUAUGG
RNAcentral lists this ribosomal RNA (374 nucleotides) under uncultured bacterium. RNAcentral describes it as "bacterial SSU rRNA". It matches the Rfam family "Bacterial small subunit ribosomal RNA", at positions 335 to 701 of the family's 1533-position model. The record is from RNAcentral.